RNAcentral lists this non-coding RNA (48 nucleotides) under Schistosoma mansoni. The record is from RNAcentral. Lineage: Eukaryota; Metazoa; Platyhelminthes; Trematoda; Strigeidida; Schistosomatidae.
AUCCAGCUGACGAGUCCCAAAUAAGAUGAAGUGGUGUGCGUCCUGGAU